RNAcentral lists this unclassified non-coding RNA (335 nucleotides) under uncultured fungus. Its description in RNAcentral is "partial contains 5.8S ribosomal RNA, internal transcribed spacer 2, and large subunit ribosomal RNA". The record is from RNAcentral. Lineage: Eukaryota; Fungi.
AACGCAUAUGGCACCCGAGACUUCGGUCGAGGGUAUAUCUGUCUCAGAGUCGACGUAAAAAACAUCCCCACGGAAGACCGCCUUGGCGGGCUUCCGUCGGGGGAGCUGGCCCCCCCGGGGACCCGGGUCCUCGCGACCUCGGGAGCCUCCGGGUCGGCUGAAGGCGAGAGACGGGGGACCGCAUGCGCCGGGCAGCCACGAUUUUGGUGGGAGGACCUCGCGUCCGCAUCACUGAUCGGGCCACCCAACCAAGCAGAGGUAAAUACCCCGCCAGUGCAGGAUUUUCACUCGACUAAUCCGACCUGAGAUCAGGUAAGAUCACCCGCUGAACUUAA